GUCUGGGUGGCUUGGUCAGUUAAGCAUCUGACUUCAGCUCAGGUCAUGAUCUCGUAGUCUGUGGGUUCGAGACCCACAUCAGGUU
RNAcentral lists this transfer RNA (85 nucleotides) under Felis catus (domestic cat). It matches the Rfam family "tRNA". Rfam says of the family: Transfer RNA (tRNA) molecules are approximately 80 nucleotides in length. Lineage: Eukaryota; Metazoa; Chordata; Mammalia; Carnivora; Felidae. The record is from Rfam by way of RNAcentral.